UACGAAGGGAGCGAGCGUUGUUCGGAAUCACUGGGCGUAAAGAGUGCGUAGGCGGUUUUCUAAGUUUGGUGUGAAAUCUCCCGGCUUAACUGGGAGGGUGCGCCGAAAACUGGAAGGCUUGAGUAUGGGAGAGGUAAGCGGAAUUCCGGGUGUAGCGGUGGAAUGCGUAGAGAUCCGGAAGAACACCGGUGGCGAAGGCGGCCUGCUGGGCUAUGGCUGACACUGAGGCGCGACAGCGUGGGGAGCAAACAGG
RNAcentral lists this ribosomal RNA (253 nucleotides) under uncultured bacterium. Its description in RNAcentral is "partial 16S ribosomal RNA". It matches the Rfam family "Bacterial small subunit ribosomal RNA", at positions 524 to 776 of the family's 1533-position model. The record is from RNAcentral.